CUACGGGAUGCUCCAGUUAGGAAUAAUCUACAAUGCGCGCAAGCGUGAUAGUUUGAGCCAGAGUGCUUUUCAACUGAAAAGCUUUUGUGAAAUGUAAAAAGUUUUACGAAUAAGGACUGGGUAAGACUAGUGCCAGCCGCCGCGGUAAUACUAGCGGUCCAAGUCGCAGCCAUUUUUAUUAGGUCUAAAACAUCCGUAGCUUGCUUAAUAAGUUUCUUGUGAAAUUUUGUAUCUUAAAUACAAAGCGUGCAAGAAGUACUGUUAAGCUAGAGACUGGGAGACGUAAGAAGUAUGUUCGAAGUAGCGGUAAGAUGCUUUAAUCUCGGACAGACUCACAAUAGCGAAGGCAUCUUACGAGAACAGUUCUGACAGUAAGGGAUGAAGGCUAGGGGCGCAAAACGGAUUAGAUACCCCUGUAGUC
This 421-nucleotide ribosomal RNA is filed under the name uncultured archaeon. Its description in RNAcentral is "partial 16S ribosomal RNA". It matches the Rfam family "Archaeal small subunit ribosomal RNA", at positions 323 to 746 of the family's 1478-position model. The record is from RNAcentral.